This is a non-coding RNA of Deltaproteobacteria bacterium DG_8, 89 nucleotides long. NCBI's taxonomy places the organism in Bacteria, Deltaproteobacteria. The record is from Rfam.
GGAGAGAUGGCCGAGUGGUUGAAGGCACCGCUCUCGAAAAGCGGUAACCCGAGGAAUUGGGUUCGUGGGUUCGAAUCCCACUCUCUCCG